CGGGGCUUAAAGUCUUGUAAUUGGAAUGAUGGGAAUUUAAACCUCUUCCAGAGUAUCAAUUGGAGGGCAAGUCUGGUGCCAGCAGCCGCGGUAAUUCCAGCUCCAAUAGCGUAUAUUAAAAUUGUUGCAGUUAAAAAGCUCGUAGUUGAAUUUCUGCUGCAUCGCUGUGUCCCUUCGGGGUCUCUGCAUGUGGCUUAUUUCGGACGGAGUUCGCUUUGUCUGGAUGUUUACUUUGAGAAAAUUAGAGUGCUCAAAGCAGGCUUUUGCCUUGAAUAGUUUAGCAUGGAAUAAUAAAGUAGGACUUUGGUUCUAUUUUGUUGGUUUUAGGUACCAAAGUAAUGGUUAAUAGGAACAGUUGGGGGCAUUCGUAUUUAACUGUCAGAGGUGAAAUUCUUAGAUUUGUUAAAGACGAACUACUGCGAAAGCAUUUGCCAAGGAUGUUUUCAUUAAUCAAGAAC
This 458-nucleotide ribosomal RNA is filed under the name Theileria parva. RNAcentral describes it as "SSU rRNA". It matches the Rfam family "Eukaryotic small subunit ribosomal RNA", at positions 486 to 984 of the family's 1831-position model. Lineage: Eukaryota; Apicomplexa; Aconoidasida; Piroplasmida; Theileriidae. RNAcentral also lists the same sequence under 1 other name. The record is from RNAcentral.